This 2399-nucleotide long non-coding RNA is filed under the name Phoenix dactylifera (date palm). RNAcentral describes it as "long non-coding RNA (PDAC_LNC001244)". Lineage: Eukaryota; Viridiplantae; Streptophyta; Magnoliopsida; Arecales; Arecaceae. The record is from RNAcentral.
UUUGGCUUUGAGAAAAGCUACCGAUGACCAAUGUGUAAAGACAUACUGUCCACGAGACUGAGAAUUGCUGCCUUGAAAAGCUUUUUAUUGUGCCAUUUCCUGCACACUGAACAUCUAAAUUGUAAGUAAGUUACAAUAGUUAGAACCAUGAGCAAUUGUCUUGCAUACCUCGUGUUGCGAAAUUUGUGCAAUUUAGUGCAUGGUUACUGUUUGGACUGAUUCCUGCCUUACCAUGAUUGUGCGUGUGUGGAUUUUGACACGGAAAACAGCUACAUUUAUGGGCUUGACUCUCUAGAUACCUUAAAUAUGAAGCCUUGAAGAGCUAAGAUAUUGAAGGGUUGGUAUUUUUGUUCAUCUUGCCUAACAAUUAUUUAAGUUUCUAGUAAUGUAUGCAUCUUUGUGAUUAUAACACUAAUGCCUUGUCAAAAUUUUGAUCUUGUUCUGUAUUGACAGUAAGGUGUAUGUUUGUGAAUACCAUGUUCUCCUAUUGGCAAUUUUAUUUGGGAAUAUUCAGUUCUUAUGUUUUACGUAGAGGCGGCCACUUUGAUUUUCAAUUUCCACAUUUCAUAUAAUAUAAUUCUGUGGCCAUUUUGUGGAAACACAAAUUUUUGAGUUAUCAUAUAUUUAAGAAUCAAAGAGGGAUUGAUUUAUUAUUAUGAUUUAUUUCAACUAUUUCAUAUAGUAUUCUUAAAAUGAUUCUAGGAUCAAUUUAUGGAAAUUUAAAUUUCUGAAUGGAAUGAAAUUCAAUAAUAGGUCUCUGUGUGAGACUUGGGUGGUAAAAUUUAGUCAUAGAUUUUUAUGUAAUUUGUUAAAUACGUUAAGAACCAUUUUUGAAUUUUCUGGAACCAGAAAUAGUGAGUUUAGAACCAUUUUCUGGAUCUUCGUUUCCAUGUUUCAUUUUUUGUUUCCUUUGUCUCAUGUAAUGAUCCCAAAAUAGUUUUGCAGUCACUGUAUGAAAAAAAAUGAAUUCUUGGGUAGAAAGACUUAUCCUUUAAUUUUAUUUUCUCUGUUUCACAUAGUGACCCCAGCAUGAUUAAGGGAUCAUUAUAUUGGAACAUAAAUUUUCAGAUCCUAACAUAUUUAAAAAGCAACGAGGGAUCGAAUGAUUUUAUGGUCACUAAAAGGAAAUUCAAACUUUUGGAUUCUGAAUAUAAUCAACAAACGCGACCAAUCAUAACGUACCCAAAAAAAAAAAAAAACUCGAUCUAUCAUAAAUUCUCGUGUCUCACAGAGUGACCUUACAAGUUAUAUGCAUGAGUGCAAGCCCUUGAGGAUUUUAUUUCCUUCAAUGGAAAGGAAAUUGUUUAACACGUAUAACUCGUAGAUAGGCAUACAAAACAUCUUGGAUUCUGUUUCUCAUAUGGCUCAGAACUAAUUGGCAAUUAUUAUGCAUGAACAAAAAUCAUCAAGGAAUUAAACCCAUUUGACAUGCCUUCACUUUGAGCACGAAUCUAAAACAUCAAAUUCCCGGUAUGACAUGCGACCAAUCCAUAAUUAUGAUACAGAUGCAUGAACACAAGGUGCUAAUAAUUUUCUUUCCCAGAAUGUUGCAAAAUCAAUUGAUAAUUGCAACUAGGUAAACCAUAAAGGAUAUUUCUCUUCCAAAUAUACUCCUAUAUAUAUAUAUAUAUAUGUAUAUAUAUAUUAUCCACAAUAGCUCAAGUACAUGAACCCAAAUCACAAUGUACCCUUAUUCCAAAAAAAAAAAAAAAAUACACAAUGUACAACUUUAUGAUCAAAUCUCACCUUCAUGGAUUUAUAUCAGGGGAGAAAUCCAAAAUGAGAGUCUCCAAGUCUUUCCACCAAAACCAUCGUCAAGUUCGCACCUUUUAGACUCCUCCAUAUGCAGAGGCCCCGAACACAUUCAAAGACACGAUCGAAAUCAAUAUUUUUUUUUUCCCUCUCCAAUUGCCAAGAAUCCCAACCUCUUGAAGCUCCACUCAAUCUCGGCGGCUAAUAAUCCCUCGCCAAGUUGCCUCUUUUCCGAGCUCUGCCGAGACUCCGAGACACCGUUUAUCUCUCUGUCUCACUCCGAUCGAUGCCAGAGCAAAAUCCAACCAAAUCCCUCACGAAUCCCCCUCGACGAAUUUAACGAACCCGGCCUAGAGCUCGACGUCAUCGAGAUUCCGCUCGUCCAUGGGGAGGUGGCCAGAAAUCUUGCCGCAAUCGCCGGAGGGAGACGAGAAGGGGCCGCCCGAGAGUGUCUGAGAGCUCGGCGAUGGAAUCGGGAUUGGAAGUCUGAAGAGAUUGGGAUUUUCAUCAAGGUCUAAACAACUAAAAUACAAUAUAUACUUUGCCAUGGGGUUUUGUGCAAAACUUAUCUAUGGUGCUAUGCUGGUCCCCUGGGAUGUGAAUUAGAGGAAGAAUAGGUGGAACCCAGGAGACCAGAUAUCAUUUCC